GUCAGGGUGUCCUGGAAGGUGCUGAUGGAGGGGUAUGACUCCGUCAGUUCUGAGUUCCAGAGGCCACUUUGACUCCAGGAUGAAGGAUGGCAGUGAGUAAUUCAAGGAAGAGCUGUCACAGGUAUCCCUGUGUCCAGGUGGAGGCCAUGGGGCUAGAAGCAGGCCUGCAGUUGUGUGAAGGAGGGGAGGUGGAGCAAAGAGAUGGUAGAGAGUGCGCAGGGCCCUUGAGGGAUUCAGGUUUCGGGUAGGGAUGCUUAUGCAGCCAGUAGGCAGGGCCUCUGAGACAGCCAGUGCCCACUCUACCCCAGCCUAGGCCACUGGGCUCAGUGGGCUUAGGCUGGAAGGCCCCAGAGGAAAUCUCAACCCCAGCUCAGAUUCCCUGCCAUUCCCAGCAUCUGCCCAUCCACCCUCCCUCUUGCGGCCAAGGCAGGACUUGAUCUUUCUCCACUAGCUACGGAGCUGGGGGACAGCAUAGGCUGCCACCAGUGAGCACAGAUGCAGUAUGCACCAGCAGCGAAUGAGGGACCCUGCUGCCUCUGGAGGUCACAGGUGCCUGUUGUUCCCGCCUCUACUGACUGUGACCCCUGUGAUCAGGGCUCCAACAUGGAGUCUGGAGUGGUGGGACGACUGGCCAUGCCUGAUCAGUGCCCAGCCUUAGCUGCAAGGGAGGCAGGAAGGUGGCUGGUUCUGGCAUAGUUCGUCUAAGUAGUGGAAGCUGGGUUCUUCCUCAUGAGUGGAGAAUUCCCCACACAGAGGAGGAAGUUCCAGACUUUGGGUGGACAACAUGAAGGACGAAUGUCUACUUAUGGAGAUGUUGUUGAUAAAUGAUAUAAUCCAUGUAAAUAUGCUUAGCAAAACAUCUAGUAUAAGGAAAAUACUCAAUAAAUGUUUUCUAUUACCUGUGUGCUCAUAAGGGCUGGGGGUGGGCCUGUGUUUUGUUCUCUGCGUAUCCCGAGGGCCUGUCAUGGUACCUGGCGCACACUAGGAGCUUGACAAAUGUUGGCCUGUGAGUAUCUUGCCCUUCCCAGGGUCUGAGCUCUGCCCAGCCUUCCUCUCCUCUCCUUUUUCUUUGUUGCCCAGGCUGUGGCCAUGGCAUUUUCCAAGGAGGAGGCAAGUGCUGAUACCAGAAAGAGGAGGAGGAGCGAGGGGCCCGAAGCUCCGCUCCAACACCAGCUCACUGUGACCUUAGGUAAGUCGCCUCUACUCUCUUGGCCUGAGUUUCUCCAUCUGCAAAAUGGAUACAAUAACCUCAGCUACUUCACAUGUCUGAUGCAAGGGACAAAG
RNAcentral lists this long non-coding RNA (1284 nucleotides) under Marmota monax (woodchuck). The record is from RNAcentral. Lineage: Eukaryota; Metazoa; Chordata; Mammalia; Rodentia; Sciuridae.